CACCUCUCAGGGCCGCACCUGGAGAGUUUCCAGUACUCUACCAGUCUCAACUAUGGAAAGGAGAGACAAGCAGAGGCAUAUCCAUUCCAUUCUUAGCUUGGGCAGUGGCUAACAAGUGGAAGGCAAUCUGCUACAAGU
This 138-nucleotide small nucleolar RNA is filed under the name Ornithorhynchus anatinus (platypus). The record is from RNAcentral. Lineage: Eukaryota; Metazoa; Chordata; Mammalia; Monotremata; Ornithorhynchidae.